Long non-coding RNA from Rhodamnia argentea, 285 nucleotides. RefSeq lists it as uncharacterized. Lineage: Eukaryota; Viridiplantae; Streptophyta; Magnoliopsida; Myrtales; Myrtaceae. The transcript is spliced from 3 exons. The record is from RefSeq and is a predicted model, not a curated record.
CCACUAACACAGACAAUCCUAUGUGAAAAUGUCUGUAUUGCCCUCGACCUCAGCUAUAUAAAGCGAGGUGAUGUCUGAAUAAAAGGGGAAGUCCAGAGAAGAGAAAAUUUUGCAAACUUUCACUAAGUUCUCUCCAAUCUUCUCAUAAAUCUUCCUCCUCUAGGCGUAGUGAUAUUGGAAAGAUAGACCGAAUAAGAUGAGUGGGUUCAGCAAGUACUCAGCAGAAAUGAAGGCCAAAGAGUCUUAGGGUGAAGGCUAAUGGUAUUUGAAGACAAACACACAAUU